GUUGCAGUUCCUGGAAUUAAGUUGACUGUGUAGCCUGUGAGGGCAAGGCUUGAAUAAUGCUCCUGAAGUCAGCAACUUGAUUCCAGCAAUUGCGGCCCGA
Molecule: non-coding RNA, 100 nt
Organism: Drosophila melanogaster (fruit fly)
Lineage: Eukaryota; Metazoa; Arthropoda; Insecta; Diptera; Drosophilidae
Gene: mir-284
Product: mir-284 precursor RNA
Exons: 1
Source: RefSeq